This 460-nucleotide ribosomal RNA is filed under the name uncultured bacterium. RNAcentral describes it as "partial 16S ribosomal RNA". It matches the Rfam family "Bacterial small subunit ribosomal RNA", at positions 338 to 795 of the family's 1533-position model. The record is from RNAcentral.
CCUACGGGUGGCAGCAGUGAGGAAUAUUGGUCAAUGGGCGCUAGCCUGAACCAGCCAAGUCGCGUGAAGGAUGACGGCCCUAUGGUUUGUAACCUUCUUUUAUGUGGGCAUAAAGUGCAGAACGUAUACCUAUUUGUAUGUACCAUAUGAAUAAGCAUCGGCUAACUCCGUGCCAGCAGCCGCGGUAAUACGGAGGAUACGAGCGUUAUCCGGAUUUAUUGGGUUUAAAGGGUGCGUAGGCGGGUUAGUAAGGCAGAUGUGAAAGUUUGUGGCUCAACCAUAAAAUUGCAGUUGAAACUGGUUGCCUUGAGUACAGUAGAGGUAGGCGGAAUUCGUGGUGUAGCGGUGAAAUGCAUAGAUAUCACGAAGAACUCCGAUUGCGAAGGCAGCCUACUGGACUGUAACUGACGCUGAUGCACGAAAGCGUGGGGAUCAAACAGGAUUAGAUACCCUUGUAGUC